Molecule: ribosomal RNA, 450 nt
Filed under: uncultured bacterium
Lineage: Bacteria
Description: partial 16S ribosomal RNA
Rfam family: Bacterial small subunit ribosomal RNA
Source: RNAcentral
GUGGGGAAUCUUCCGCAAUGGACGAAAGUCUGACGGAGCAACGCCGCGUGAGUGAUGAAGGUCUUCGGAUUGUAAAGCUCUGUUAAUCGGGACGAAAGAGCCUAGUGUGAAUAAUGCUAGGAAGUGACGGUACCGGAAUAGAAAGCCACGGCUAACUACGUGCCAGCAGCCGCGGUAAUACGUAGGUGGCAAGCGUUGUCCGGAAUUAUUGGGCGUAAAGCGCGCGCAGGCGGAUCUGCCAGUCUGUCUUAAAAGUUCGGGGCUUAACCCCGUGAUGGGAUGGAAACUACAGGUCUAGAGUAUCGGAGAGGAAAGUGGAAUUCCUAGUGUAGCGGUGAAAUGCGUAGAUAUUAGGAAGAACACCAGUGGCGAAGGCGACUUUCUGGACGAAAACUGACGCUGAGGCGCGAAAGCCAGGGGAGCGAACGGGAUUAGAUACCCUGGUAGUCC